AACGAACGCUGGCGGCAUGCCUAACACAUGCAAGUCGAACGAGAUCUUCGGGUCUAGUGGCGCACGGGUGCGUAACGCGUGGGAAUCUGCCCUUUGGUUCGGAAUAACAGUUGGAAACGACUGCUAAUACCGGAUGAUGACGAAAGUCCAAAGAUUUAUCGCCAGAGGAUGAGCCCGCGUAGGAUUAGCUAGUUAGUGUGGUAAAGGCGCACCAAGGCGACGAUCCUUAGCUGGUCUGAGAGGAUGAUCAGCCACACUGGGACUGAGACACGGCCCAGACUCCUACGGGAGGCAGCAGUGGGGAAUAUUGGACGAUGGGCGAAAGCCUGAUCCAGCAAUGCCGCGUGAGUGAUGAAGGCCUUAGGGAUGUAAAGCUCUUUUACCCGGGAUGAUAAUGACAGUACCGGGAGAAUAAGCUCCGGCUAACUCCGUGCCAGCCGCCGCCGUAA
Molecule: ribosomal RNA, 449 nt
Filed under: uncultured bacterium
Lineage: Bacteria
Description: partial 16S ribosomal RNA
Rfam family: Bacterial small subunit ribosomal RNA
Source: RNAcentral